Myodes glareolus (Bank vole) is the source of this 3511-nucleotide non-coding RNA. Lineage: Eukaryota; Metazoa; Chordata; Mammalia; Rodentia; Cricetidae. The record is from RefSeq and is a predicted model, not a curated record.
AGCAGUCAGCCGGGCAAACCAACGCACCAGUCACUUCUGCUCAGGCAAAACCCCAUGGGAGGAAGCUGGGAGAGAAAAGAGAACCCAGCACAAUUUGCCUGUCUAGCACCAGUUCCCUAAACCUGCUGGUUUUAAAUGCACGGCUUUUUGAAGAUUUUUUUUUUGGCAGUUCUGCAAACCUUAGCUCUUUGAGAGAGGGGGACGGAGGCAGAAGAAGAUGGAAAGAAAAUGGUGAACUCUGAUCUGCUGCCCUGGGAGAGGAAAGGCACACUGUCGUUAUAGCGCAUUGGAGGGACCUGGAGGGACAGAGAGCCACUCAACCCUGGUGAAAGCAAGAACCAACUCCGGGCAGAUAAAAUCUGGUUGCUGAGCUCCUCGACUGUACCUUUAAAUCUAAAACAGAAAUAAAAGAAAGGAAAGAAAAGGCAUGUAAAGAAGUUGGAUGUAAACAGUUUUGAGUAUGAGAAUGGCAUUACCUUCUUUUAGAACUAUGUGCCACAUGGAGCGAGUGGAGGAUGGAAACAUACAACAGAAACUCACCUGAUGGUGCUCCUACCCAUGAUGGUGCUCCUACCCUUCUGAUGAUGCUUCUACCCAUCUGAUGGUGCUCCUACCCAUCUGAUGGUGCUCCUACCCACCUGAUGGUGCUCCUACCCAUCUGAUGGUGCUCCUACCCACCUGAUGGUGCUCCUACCCAUCUGAUGGUGCUUCUACCCAUCUGAAGAUGCUCCUACCCUUCUGAUGAUGCUCCUACCCUUCUGAUGAUGCUUCUACCCAUCUGAUGAUGCUCCUACCCAUCUGAUGAUGCUCCUACCCUUCUGAUGGUGCUCCUACCCAUCUGAUGAUGCUCCUAUCCUUCUGAUGAUGCUCCUACCCAUCUGAUGAUGCUCCUACCUCUAGGACCUGGCAGCGCUGGCACUGAGGUAACACAGUCAUGCAGAGAUGUCAGGGGCUAAUAACCCUUACAGUUCUAAAGGUCUCCUUGCUCUGAGAACACACCAUCCUUCAUCUCCUUUUCCAGAAUCCUCCCCCCUACCUACACUCCCCCUCUUUGUAUCUCCCAGGACUAGAGGCUGGCUUGCUUUCUCUCUCAUGUUUUCUAUUGCUCUUUCCCCAUAUGGACACAGUCUAAUUUAAACCAGUAGGAAAUAAACUACAUAGUGGAGCAUGCCUGCAAUCCCAGCACUUGGGUGGUAAUGCCAAGAGGAUCAGGAGUUAAAGGUCAUAGUUAAUUCAAGGCCAGUUUGGGAUUACUUGAGACUUUGUUUCAAAAAAACAAUCAAAGAGGAAAAGGAAAGUACCCUACAACAUUCCAUCCCUCUAGAGGCCUCCCUUCCACAAUUCUUAAAAUAGCUAUCAAUGCAUGCUACUUCCUUUAAUCACUUUCUUCUUAUUUAUAUUAACAUGCAAUGAAAGCACAGAAUAUAUAAAGAUAUAUGUAGGUGUGUAAUAAAUGUAGAUAUAUGAUUUAAAUAAUAGAACACCCAUUAAAGUCACUAAUUGUUCUGAAAUGUCUAUUUUUUGUUUUCUUAUAUAAGCAGUCUUCACAUGUCACUGGAGCACAUGAAUUCCUAGAUAGGGAUCACAUGUACUAGCCUCCCUUGUAGCUAGGUGUAUUUGAUGGUUAAUCUACUGUAUCAUCUUGAUUGGAUUUGGAAUCACAUAGGAGACACACCUUGUGUGGGAGGGUGUUCCUAGGGGAAUUUAGUGAAGAUGAAAGACCCACUCUGAAUGUGUAAAGUACCAUCCUAUGGACUGGGGUCCCAGAUUGAAUAAAAGGGUGGGGAGGAAGUAUACUGAGCACCAGCAUUCAUCUUUUUGGCUCUGAUUAUGGAUGCAAUGAGACUGGCCAUGCUAUGUUCCUGCUACAUGUUCAUUACCAUGGUGAAUGGUAUCCCCACAAACUGUGAGCCAAACUGUCAUCUUCAUUCCUUAAGUUGUUUCCUUUAGGUCACAGCAAUGAAAAAAGUAACAGCUACAGCGCAGUAUACAGUAAGUCAGGUGACUGGCAGUGCACAAAGGAGAGAAGACCAUGGCUCUGGUCACAUCCUUCACAACAGAGCUGUUGUCUGGAUUGUCCCUCUGUAGGGACAAGACUACAGACAAGAGCAAGGACUGGAGCUGGAGAGGCUCCAUGCUGAGUCGUCAGAGCUGCCCUGUCUGUUCUGGAACACUGACCACAGAACACUGAACCAUCCUGUAGCUGAAGUAAUACAGCUCUCCACACAGAUUGAGACACUGGCCACCACCAGGACUUAGAAGAUGCAAGUGUCAACCAGUCAUACUCCCCUAGAGAUCCAUGGUCUCUAGGAAGUGCUCAGCGAAUUCAUGGAAAAAGUGCUCACUGCACCGACAUGAGAACCAGAGUUUGGAUGCCCAGAAUCCAUGUAAAAAGCUAGACAUGAUGGCUUGCUUCUCCAAUGCCAGCAAUGGGGAGAUGGAAAAAGAGUCUCGCUGGCCAGUUAAUCUGGCAGAAUCAGUGAGAGACUCUGCCUCAGAAAAGUAAGGCGGAGCAAGAUAGAGGAAGAUGCCCGAUGCUGACCCUUACCUCCACACACUCAGGCACCCAUUCGUCUCACCCCCCAUCACAUACACACAUGUAUAUACCACAUAUAUAUAUACACCAAAAUAUAACAAAUAAGCCAAAUACGCAUUGAAUGAAGAGAUGGACCAUCAUCCAACUGCUAGAAGCAAUAAUUAUGAAGGAAAAGUGACAAUAUGCCAUACGGAAACCUUUUCUUUUAGCUUUCAUUAUUGUUUUCACUCUGUGUGAUAAAUAAAAACCAGCAGGUGGGCAAGAGAGAUGGCUCAGCCGUUAAGAGUGCCUGCUGUUCUUCCAGAGGAUGGGAGCUCAGUUCCAAGCACCCAUAUCUGGCUGCUCACAACCCCCUGCAUCUCUAGCUCCAGGGGAUCCAAUGCCUUCUUCUGGUCUCUGUAGGUACUGCACUCAUGUGCACUUAUCCACACAGACAUAAAUAAAAAUAAAAAUAAAUCUUUAAGACAGGCAAAAUUGAAACAUUAUAUUUUAAAAUCAAAGCAAGAGGGAGAAAAGGUGAAUUUCACGAACUCAGAAAGAACUUGAGAAAACCCUUUACAAGCUGAUAACUGACUUAGUAUCCAGGAGCUGAAGCUGGUGGUUGCUGUCUCUGUGGGACAUCUUCAGUUUGGUACUCUGCUCUGAAAUGGACAAGUCCACUCUGCUCAAAAGCUGAGAAAUCUGGAAAAGAAGAUUGGAUUAUAAAGAUCUCACAUCAUGUCUUCAGGGACCAUUUCAGAAGACAUGCCCUAUGCUCUAUGCUGGCCAAUGGCAUUAAAAGUCACUUUACUAAGUUCAUUUCACCUCCUCUUUCCGUGUAUGUGUGUGUGUGUGUGUGCGCGUGUGCGCGCGCACACACAUGUACUUGUGGAGGCCAGGGGUCAACAGGAGUUGUCUUUCUCAAUCAUUCUCACUUUAUCUUUUGAUGCAGGGUCUCUCACUGAACAUGGAGCUCUCCUAUUGGCUAUCUUUUGA